This 624-nucleotide ribosomal RNA is filed under the name Panstrongylus howardi. RNAcentral describes it as "SSU rRNA". It matches the Rfam family "Eukaryotic small subunit ribosomal RNA", at positions 600 to 1147 of the family's 1831-position model. The record is from RNAcentral. Lineage: Eukaryota; Metazoa; Arthropoda; Insecta; Hemiptera; Reduviidae.
CGUAUAUUAAAGUUGUUGCGGUUAAAAAGCUCGUAGUUGGUUCUGCGUGCCGCGCUGUCGGUUCGCCGCCUGUCGGUGUAACUGGCAUGUCGCGGCAUGUCCUGUCGGUGGUGAACGGAGUCCACAAUGCUACAUAGGCUUUAUAGCCGAUGUUAGCGUCGUGUGUACUUCCGUUGGCCGAUCUCUCCUACUUCGGUGCUCUUAAACGAGUGUCGAGGUAGGCCGACACGUUCACUUUGAACAAAUUAGAGUGCUUAAAGCAGGCUGAAAUAUCUGCCUGAAUAGUGGUGCAUGGAAUGAUAAAACAGGACCUCGGUUCUAUUUUGUUGGUUUUAGGAAUAUGAGGUAAUGAUCAAUGUGGACWGGCGGGGGCAUUCGUAUUGCGACGUUAGAGGUGAAAUUCUUGGAUCGUCGCAAGACGCACUAGAGCGAAAGCAUUUGCCAAGUAUGUCUUAAUUGAUCAAGAACGAAAGUUAGAGGUUCGAAGGCGAUCAGAUACCGCCCUAGUUCUAACCAUAAACGAUGCCAGCCAGCGAUCCGCCGAUGUUCCUUUAAUGACUCGGCGGGGAGCUUCCACCCGGGAAACCAAAGCUUUUGGGUUCCGGGGGAAGUAUGGUUGCAAAG